This 406-nucleotide ribosomal RNA is filed under the name uncultured bacterium. RNAcentral's name for it is "partial 16S ribosomal RNA". It matches the Rfam family "Bacterial small subunit ribosomal RNA", at positions 29 to 526 of the family's 1533-position model. The record is from RNAcentral.
AUUGAACGCUGGCGGCAGGCUUAACACAUGCAAGUCGAGCGAGCGGCGGACGGGUGAGUAAUGUCUGGGAAACUGCCUGCUGGAGGGGGAUAACUACUGGAAACGGUAGCUAAUACCGCAUACCAUCAGAUGUGCCCAGAUGGGAGUAGCUAGUAGGUGGGGUAAUGGCUCACCUAGGCGACGAUCCCUAGCUGGUCGGAGAGGAUGACCAGCCACACGGGAACGGAGACACGGUCCAGGCUCCGGCGGGAGGCAGCAGUGGGGAAUGUGGCGCAGUGGGGGGAAGCCUGAUGCAGCCAUGCCGCGUGUGUGAAGAAGGCCUUCGGGUUGUAAAGCACUUUCAGCGAGGAGGCGUUACUCGCAGAAGAAGCACCGGCUAACUCCGUGCCAGCAGCCGCGGUAAUAC